GAUCCUGGCUCAGGAUGAACGCUAGCGACAGGCUUAACACAUGCAAGUCGAGGGGCAGCACAGGUAGCAAUACCGGGUGGCGACCGGCGCACGGGUGAGUAACGCGUAUGCAACUUGCCUAUCAGAGGGGGACAACCCGGCGAAAGUCGGACUGAUACCGCAUGAAGCAGGGGCCCCGCAUGGGGAUAUUUGCUAAAGAUUUAUCGCUGAUAGAUAGGCAUGCGUUCCAUUAGG
This 234-nucleotide ribosomal RNA is filed under the name uncultured bacterium. Its description in RNAcentral is "partial 16S ribosomal RNA". It matches the Rfam family "Bacterial small subunit ribosomal RNA", at positions 15 to 245 of the family's 1533-position model. The record is from RNAcentral.